GUAUCCAUGAUUGAAUGGUUAAAGCGCUCAAUUCAUAAUUAGUGAAUUCAUAGGUUCAAUUCCUAUUAGAUGCA
This is a non-coding RNA of Datura stramonium (jimsonweed), 74 nucleotides long. The record is from the annotation of a GenBank genome assembly. Lineage: Eukaryota; Viridiplantae; Streptophyta; Magnoliopsida; Solanales; Solanaceae.